Gossypium hirsutum (cotton) is the source of this 107-nucleotide non-coding RNA. NCBI's taxonomy places the organism in Eukaryota, Viridiplantae, Streptophyta, Magnoliopsida, Malvales, Malvaceae. The record is from Rfam.
AAUCCAUACAUCAGACAUUUUCGAAGUAAUUCAUUAAAUCAUUCCCAAGCUUCAUAUAGUGUUUCAUCCUCUAAUUGCCAAAAGGAUGUGAUGUUGUUUCUAAGCUU